AUACGGAGGGUGCAAACGUUACUCGGAAUCACUGGGCGUAAAGCGCGCGCAGGCGGCUAUUUAAGUUGGAUGUGAAAGCCUACGGCUCAACCGUAGAACUGCAUCCAAAACUAUUUAGCUAGAGUGUGGGAGAGGAAGAUGGAAUUAGUUGUGUAGGGGUAAAAUCCGUAGAGAUAACUAGGAAUACCAAAAGCGAAGGCAAUCUUCUGGAACACUAAUGACGCUGAGGCGCGAAAGCGUGGGGAGCAAACAGGAUUAGAAACCCUAGUAGUCC
Molecule: ribosomal RNA, 274 nt
Filed under: uncultured bacterium
Lineage: Bacteria
Description: partial 16S ribosomal RNA
Rfam family: Bacterial small subunit ribosomal RNA
Source: RNAcentral